UGGUGCUUUGCUGUCAAUACAAUUUGCCUCAUCGGGUUUACCGUGGUCUUCUAGAUCAACCUCAGCAAGUAAAUUAUCACGUUUAACUGUGCUACUUUCUCUCAUUGUGCGCUUUAUGGAGACUAGUGUUACAACUUUGAGAACAGAAACUCUCGUAGAGGAGUAGUGCACUUUUGGUUUCCUUUCACACCGGGUAAUGGAGGCGUUCUGAUUCUGGUUCAGGCCGUGAUACAGAUUAGAGGAGUGAAAAUAGGGAAGUGGUUGGCCAACUAAUUAAGUAGAGGAGAUAUCGCAGCAGCCAACUGAACCAGAGAUUUUGGGGGAAGAGCUGGCUGAGUAAAUCAACAAUUCAAUUUCGAAUUUCUGUUACCUUUAUUUCAGCACCUUAGUAUCUAUAAAUAGGGAGUCUCUUAUCAGUUUAGACAUCUUUUGGAGAGAUCAGAAAUAGGACGGCAUAGCCGUAGGCCUCUGCGGAGGAUUAUCGUGGCCUCCUUCGUGAGGAUUGUUAUUUUAUUUGCUUCUUUCUUUGUCCUUUUUAUCAAUAAAUUGAGAUCUUAUUUCCUUAAUCAGUGUUCUAUUGAUUGAGUUGGAAUUCAGCCUUUACUCCUAACAGGCCGUCUUGAACUUAAAGUUAUCGGGCUCCGACAAUAUUUCCUCAUACAUGGUUGCUAUCUCCUGCCUAAAAUCUAAAGCUUUAUCUAUUCUUUUGCAACUCUGUGAAACUGAAAGUGUAUCAUACCUGGAUGAGGUGGCCAGCAACACAACAACUCAAAAUAUGGCAAAGUCUGUUGGACUUGAGGUUCUUGCAUUGCUGGUAAAAGCUUGGAAUAGAUUCAAGACAGGUAUAUGCUCCCUCCGAGGUACUGGCUGCAGUCAUUACGGCAGGUGCUUCUAGAGAGCCUGAAAUCCUAGCUGAAAUAAGGGAUGCUGUUUUUUCUUUCAUUCGUAAAAUGGAGCCCAGAAGAGUGAUGGAUACGAUGCUUGUCUCUCGUGUUAGGAUUUUCUAUAUAAUGUCCCGGCUUGCUCGAUCACCGGAGCUACAAUCAAUUAAGUUUCUCCAGUUGAGCGCUGGAAGAUCUCUAGUUCGUUACGAUUCUAGUUCAAGGAAUAUGCUUGUUGGGGACCGAAUUCAAGGGUUCAAAGUAAAUAUAAAACCAGAGAAGAAGUCAAAGUUGUCAUUAGUAGUUCUGAAGAUACGUGGGGAAUUGAUCAGCAAAGCAACAAAUCCACACACAGCGGAUGGGCCAUUCUAACCUUGUCAUUUCAGAAGCAAAGCAACAAUCAAUGAUUUCCUUUCCAUUGCUGAUGACACGGCUGCAGGAGCAACUGGUCAGCUGGAACUUCUCUCUACAGCAAUAAUGGAUGGUUGGAUGGCUGGACUUGGUGCUGGCCAGCCUCCGACUACCGAUGCUCUUGGACAGUUGUUAUCUGAAUAUGCCAGAUGUCUUUAUACUUCACAGCUGCAACAUUUGAAGGAUAUUGCUGGUACUUUGGCGACUGAAGCAGCGGAAGACUAUGCUCAAGUAGCUAAGCUACGUUCAGCUCUUGAAUCUGUUGAUCACAAGAGAAGAAAGAUUUUACAACAAAUGAAAAACGACGCAGAGAUGUUAAAUUUAGAAAGUGGCGCUGCGCCUAUUCGGAGUCCUUCCACUUCUGCUGAAGAUGCAAGGCUAGUGUCGUUAAUCUCCCUUGACAGCAUACUGAAGCAAGUCAAGGUUUUUCAUCUUUCUCCAAUUUCUCAUCUUUUAACUUUCUGGCAGAUGUCGCAGAUGCUUCAACUUUUCUGUCAUUCAUCAUGAAGUGUGUUUAUAGUGUCUCUAUUUUCUGUAUGUGUAAAGUGUGUGUAUUUGUGUAGUGCCGGCAGUGUAUACAUUUUGUG
This is a long non-coding RNA of Salvia splendens (bonfire salvia), 1879 nucleotides long. RefSeq lists it as uncharacterized. NCBI's taxonomy places the organism in Eukaryota, Viridiplantae, Streptophyta, Magnoliopsida, Lamiales, Lamiaceae. The record is from RefSeq and is a predicted model, not a curated record. The transcript has 9 exons.